This 391-nucleotide unclassified non-coding RNA is filed under the name soil metagenome. RNAcentral's name for it is "partial contains 5.8S ribosomal RNA, internal transcribed spacer 2, and large subunit ribosomal RNA". The stretch from base 1 to 122 matches the Rfam family "5.8S ribosomal RNA", at positions 35 to 154 of the family's 154-position model. The record is from RNAcentral.
GAUGAAGAACGCAGCGAAAUGCGAUACUUGGUGUGAAUUGCAGAAUCCCGUGAACCAUCGAGUCUUUGAACGCAAGUUGCGCCCGAAGCCACUAGGCCGAGGGCACGCCUGCCUGGGCGUCACACGCCGUUGCCCCCCCAUCUACUCCUUCGGGAUUGCGGGGGGGCGGAUGAUGGCCUCCCGUGCGCCUAGCCGCGCGGUUGGCAUAAAUACCAAGUCCUCGGCGACGCACGCCACGACAAUCGGUGGUCGCGAAACCUCGGUUGCCCGUCGUGUGCGUUCGUCGCGCAUCGAGGGCUCGAAAAAAUGCUCGGCUCCGGCUGGGCUUUCAACGCGACCCCAGGUCAGGCGGGGUUACCCGCUGAAUUUAAGCAUAUCAAUAAGCGGAGGA